This 9906-nucleotide long non-coding RNA is filed under the name Triticum aestivum (bread wheat). RNAcentral describes it as "long non-coding RNA (TAES_LNC027064)". Lineage: Eukaryota; Viridiplantae; Streptophyta; Magnoliopsida; Poales; Poaceae. The record is from RNAcentral.
GAAUUCCUGGUUUAUGAGCCGUUCAUUUACUGGAUCGGACGGCUGCUACUCAUUCGUUUGUGUACUUGUCCUAGAGGGUUAAGCACAUCACUCCACAAGAUACGAGCAAUGUAGGCAGACGCAGCAUGAAGCCUCGCUUCCAGUGCAUACAUGAGCACAAGCACAUUCAGACAGGCGAUGGGCAUAGAAAAUUAGUACGAUAUUCUAGCACCAGGAUGCUUCUAUUUUGUAGCCCAUAUUGUAUGAAGCUUUUAUUUUGUGGCUCAUAUGUAAUUUUUCAUCUGUGGUCUAUUGUCUUCUCGCUUACACAAGCGGUGGCAGAUCUAAUCCCUUUCGGCUCUAUUUUGUAACCCAUAUUGUAUGAAGCUUCUAUUUUGUGACUCAUAUGUACAAAUUCAAUGCAAUAGUGGUCAAUCGUCUUCUGCUCGCUCUCACACAGGCAUAUCUGGCCCCAUCGGCCAGCCCAUGGGCUCUUCUUCAGGGUGUGCAAAACCAAACUGAAAACCAAAAACCGAACCAAAGAAAAACGAACCAAAAUUAUGGUUUUCGGUUUCAGUUAUGGUUUCCAUAUCUCAAAACCGUUUGCCAUUCGGAUUUUUCGUUUAAAAACCGAACACCAUUGGGUUGAAACUGAAAAACUGAAAUGACGUUUUUUUUUUGAGAACUCUCGCCCAACUUUAUUCAUUCAAAAACAAGCGACAUAGGUACAAGGUUUGGGUCAUGAGGGUUGCCCAACCACACAUGUCUACCUAGUCCUAGAGUACAUGCAAACUUGGCGAGAUUAUGAGCCUCAUAAUUAUGGUUCCUACGCUCAUGAACAAAAGAGCAAGAAUUAAAACUAUUACAUCGAAGCAUUAUUUCAUGUAUAAGAGCAGCGUUGGGGCCUCCUUUCCCUCUGUUAAUAUCAUUGACCACUUCUUGGCAAUCCGAUGCCACACAUAUGUUCAUUGUCGCAAGAUCUUCCGCCAAAGCCAACGCUUCUCUGCAAGCAUAAGUCUCAAGCAUCAUCGGAUCGGUAACUCCAUGAUAAACAACCGCCGAUGAACCCAGAUAAUGGCCGUCCUGAUCUCGGCAAAUUGCUGCAGCAGCUCCUCUGCGCCGAGACCUGGCCACUGCUCCAUCUACAUUCAACUUUACCAUGCCAGUCGGAGGUGGAAGCCACCUCUUCUGCUGCACCACCGCCCCCUUUGCGUUAUUUCAUGCUCCUUCUUCGCAUGUAUCUAGCCCAGCUCUUGUAUAUCAUUAUUCACAAAGGAUGUGGUUUGUUGUGGACUCUGGAAAAUUGAUUCAUAUAUAGCCUUCCUCCUUGCAUACCAGAUAGACCAUAGUGUAAUUACCAGUCGCGUGAAGCUUGCAUGGUCCAGAGAUUCGUUCAGUUGGAAUAACCAAAUCCUCGUGUUGGCUUCCAAAUUUUCAGACAUUUAGGAGACAAGAACCUCAUCCGAUAGAGCCCAAACGCAGCGUGACAUCGUGCAUGACACCAGCGCAUGCCUCCAUGAAUCCACGCAGCCACAUAGCGGUCAUGUGGCCUGUACCGCCAUGUUCCUUCUAUGCAAAGUGUCCGUCGUUGGUAGCGAGUGAUGAGCGAGCCUCCAAAGAAAAAUCCUUACCUUCGAUGGUACCUGUAACUUCCUGAGCUCCAUGACCGUUCUUCUUGUUCGUCAUUGGAGGACCCACUCCUUCCUUCAAGCCACUCCUCCCUCUGCAGCUUCGUUUUCUGAAGAAAUUUGUAUGCCGAACUAACAGUGAAGUUGCCCUUCUUCUCCGGGUGCCACGCCCAGAAGUGUGAUACAUUGCGUGUACAUACAGGAAUCUUCAAUAUGGCAUUGGCGUCAAUUGGCAGGAAAACACUGCGUAUCAAGUCCUCAUUCCAUGAUGCAGUCACCGGGAUCAAUAGCUCUGACACGUACCUUGGAGGGUUUGACACUAGCGACGUGAUCGGGCGUGGUGUCAUCUCCUUCGGUAUCCAAUUAUGAGCCCAAAUAUCUGUCGUUUGUCCAUUGCCAAUCCGCCUUAUAAUGCCUUGCUAUAGUAAAUCCCUUCCCUCCAAAAUAGCUCGCCAAAUCUGUGAUGGUCGCGUCCCUAACUCCGCAUCAAGGAUAGACCUGUCUGGGUAGUACAUAGCUUUAAGGAUUCUAGCACUUAGGCUUGUUGGUUCCUGAAGAAGCCUCCAUGCUUGUCUUGCAAGCAGAGCCAAAUUAAAAAUCUCAAGGUCCCUGAAUCCAAGACCCCCCAAAUGCUUUGGCCGGGUCAUGACAUCCCAAGAAACCCAUGCCGGCUUGCGCUCACAUUGCUUACAUCCCCACCAGAAUUUCCUGAUAAUAGACUUGAUGUGAUCACAUAGUCCCCUUGGGAGCUUAAAGCAUGACAUCGAAAAAACCGGGAUGGCUUGUGCUACUGAUUUGAUAAGAACAUCCUUGCCCCCAGCUGAUAGGCAAUUGCUCAUCCAUCCCUUCACCUUGUCCCACACCCUGUCACUCAAAUACUUAAACGUACCCUUCUUUGAGUGGCCCACAUCAGUUGGCAUGCCCAAAUAUCUGUCAUUCAAAGACUCAUUGUGGACUUGCAGAAAACCCUUGACAGCAUCAUGCACUAUCUCUGGGCAGCCCUUACUGAAAAAGAUAGAUGAUUUUUCCUUAUUUAUUCUCUGUCCCGAUGCCAUGCAGUAAGUAUUCAAUAGGUUUGAAACUUCCUCCGCUCUAUCAACACUUGCCCUGAAAAACAGCAGGCUAUCAUCCGCGAACAAAAGAUGAUUCACCGCCGGUGCCGACGGUGCCACCUUAAUGCCGCUGAGCUGGGAUGAUUCAUUUUGAGAGUUUAAUAGGCACGAAAGGCCCUCUGCUGCUAACAAGAAAAGGUAAGGAGAGAUUGGAUCUCCCUAUCGAAUACCUCUCGUAGGUUGAAAUUCUUCUGAUUUCACACCAUUAAACAGAACAGAAAAGGAUACUGAGCUCACCAUAUUCAUCAUGACAGUCACCCAAGGUGUAGCAAAACCCAGUUUCUCCAUGAUUGACUUCAAAUAAGACCACUCCACUCGGUCAUAAGCCUUCAUCAUGUCAAGUUUUAGUGCAGCAUAAACAUUGUUCUUUGACCUCUUUCGUUUCAUAAAGUGCAAACACUCGUACGCUGAGAUUAUGUUGUCAGUAAUCAACCUUCCAGGAACGAAUGCCGACUGCCCAGCUGAUAUAAUCUCCGGUAGAAUCAUUUUCAGACGGUUUGCCAACACCUUCGAGGCUAUCUUAUAAAAAACAUUACAUAGGCUUAUUGGGCGGAAUUGAGAUAGCAACGUUGGGUUAGGUACCUUUGGGAUUAAUACCAGCAAUGUAUCAUUCACAGCAGCCGGACUUUCCCCCCCCUUCACAAUAGCUAACACUGCGUUUGUUACCGCAUGUCCACAUACAUCCCAGUGCUUCUGGAAAAAGUGAGCAGGAAAACCGUCAGGCCCUGGAGCUUUUGUUGGGAACAUUUGGAAUAGCGCGGUCUUGACCUCCUUAGCUUCGUAAGGGGCCAGCAAGGUUUCGUUCAUAGCCGCGGUAACUUUCACCGGUAUAUGCUAUAGAACCUCAUCCACCCCUUGAACCCCCUCCGAGCUAUAUAAGUUUUUAUAAAACUCCAAUGCCAUUUGCUGCAUCUCCGUCUGGUCACUAGUAACUUGUCCACAUGGCCGUUCCAGUGCCUUUAUCAGAUUCUUUCUUCUCCGCAUCGAGGCUCGCAUAUGAAAGAAGUGUGAGUUCCGGUCUCCCGCCGAUAGCCACUCCACCCGGGAUCAUUGCCGCCACAUCAACUCUUCCCGCAGGUAAAGCUCUAUCAGACGAUCGUUUAUCUUUACUUCCGCAUGCGACGGGCCCUUCCGCGCUGCAUCAUUGCGCAGGCGAUCCAACUCCUUCUUCAGAGUACGUAUCUCGCCCUUAACACUGCCAAACGUGGAUUUGGACCAGGCGCCCAAGUUUUGGGCCAACGCCUCCAGGUUCGCACGCACUUCGCACACCCGCGGGUUGUGGCUGUUGAGCUCCCACCCCGCCUGAACUGCUGUUUUGAGGUCCGGAUGAGUAUCCCACAUAACCUCAUAACGAAACUGUUUUGUUUUCUUUCCUCUGCCACCUGGUUGUGCUAAGUGUAGAAGAACCGCUGAGUGAUCUGAAGUAGCCGCCGUAACAUGUUCCACGGCCGCUGAGGGAAACAGUCCGCACCAAUUGACCGAGCCCAAGGCUCUAUCCAACCUGACACGGGUAUAUGAGCCGCUGGUUACUUUCUUCUCAUAUGUCCAUCUUGUACCUUUGAAGCCCAGAUCGACCAAACCACAAACAUCCACUGCAUCUCUAAAGCCCUGGAUUUGCGCCUGACUCCUCGAGCCAAUGCCAUCAUGCUCAUCAUGCUUUAGGACCUCAUUGAAAUCUCCAAUACACACCCACGGCAAAUCUUGGAGUGUAGACAAAUUUUUCAUAGUAUCCCAAGUGUGGUGACGAAGAUGUGUCUAUACUUCUCCGUAGAAAGAAGAAAGCCUCCACGGUUGGUCACCCAUGCCAGUUACUCUACCAUCAAUAUGAUACUUCGAGUAGCCCAAAAUCUCAAUGUUUAUUUCAUUAUUCCAAAACAUAGCUAAACCUCCGCUUCUACCAGAGGCAUCCACAUCAAAAGAACUAUCAAAACCUAAAGUACUUUUUAAAUUUUCAACUCUGUCCCCACUGAGCCGGGUCUCAACUAUACAAAGUACUCUAGGGGCAAACUUGUUUGCGAAUUCACGCAGUUCUUGAAUUGUCGGGUCGCUGCCAAUCCCCCGGCAAUUCCAGCAGAGCAGACUCAUUGCGUCCGGCGGUCCUCCACCGGGGAGGCCGCCAUUCUCAUGUCCGAGUUUUUCCCUCUAGUAGGGGUUUUCUUCACGCCACCCGUGCCUGCCUUCUCACUAUGGACUGACAUCUUUAACCUCUUUGGUUCCUGUUUCGGCGGGGGGCUGAGAGGCACUGUCUCCCCGCUGGUUUUAGGAACUAGGGAAAGCUCCAAACCUGCAGCCGUAUUAGCUUUCGGUGAGCCAGUAACUUGUUCAGAAGAUCGUUUACAGUUGGCUUCAGUCACGUCCAUAUCCACAUCAUGUUCCUGCAUAUUCUCCUCAUCAUGUUCAGUUUCAGCUGUAGAUUGACGAUCAUCGUUCCUGGCUCUCUGAUUCCUGGUCCUACGGCGGGUCCCCCAAGCUGUAGUCGCCGGCGCACGGUGGUUUUUAAAAACCAAGGCAGAAGGAGGAUGAACCCCGUCCCCGUGCUCUUUAAACUCGUGUCCCAUCAUGCCGCACACCUGACACCAAUCCGGCAAGCGCUCAUACUUGACAGCAAAGAUCUGUCGUUCUCCUCCUCGGACCAGAGAUAUUGCUUUCUUCAAUGGCUACCGAACAUCCAGCCGGACUCUGACUCGAUAGAAGUUCCCCUCGAAAUCAAACGAAGACGGUUCUGAGUCCACAAACUCGCCGAUCUUCGAGGCCAAUGCCUUGACUUUGCCAUGAAAAGCUAUAGGAAGCUCGAUGAUCCGCGCCCAUAUCUCAAUCGUGAAGAGCUCAAUUGAGGAAGGCUUUGAGUAUCCAUCAUACGGAGUAAUAACCACGGGAUUCCCCCUGAAGUGCCAUGGCCCUCCUUGCGUGACCCGCUCCCAAUCGCCCAAACAAUCGAAUUGCAUCUGAAAUAGAUUCUCCUCGAGGGUUUUGAUCUUGACUGGCCUAGCUAGAUCCCAUGCAGUCUUCAUGUUCCAGAAGAACCAGUACGAGCUGAAGCCCUUAUCCAUAUGGACUCGGGCCAAAAUCAUCCAACGGAGAGCCUCCUCCGCCGGCUCAUCUUCAUCCUUGAAGAUCACGUCAUCGAGGUCGUCUUCCUUCAGGGCCAAUUCCUUCAUCAGAUCCUCCAAGUUGCCUUUUCCUUUGUUGCCUGAUCCCGACGAACUCCCGCCAGUCGCCAUACAGAUCGAUCUCCUGUGCCCUUGGCAGCACCCAAAAACCCUAACCGCUCCGACAGUCCAGCCCGUAACCAGUAUGAGAGACCUGGCCGCGAAACCUAACUCCGAUCGGGUGGAAGGAAAAGGUAGAUUCUCAACGUCACCAAUGGCGGCGAGAGGAGAGUAAACCCUAGCUAGAGGGAACGUAGUAAACCGGAUUCUCGAUAGUCCACCGAACUGACGUGAAGUGCACUCUUGGCCGCUCGCUAGAAGGCGCGGUGCGCUGAAGCCCACUAGCCAAGCAGGCCAACUGAGUUUGCUGAUUUAUAGUUUGAAGGAAAAAAAUUAUAUACUUAAUAUGCAGAUACCAUUAUACCAAUUUCGCAUAAAGUCACCAUGUGCUUAUAGGAAGUUGCCAAUCCAGGAGGUAUUGAACUUUUAAAGCAUAAAUUUCCCUCAAAAAAACUUUUAAAGCAUAAAUAAGACGGCAAAAUCACUUCGUCAUCAUUGGAUAACUAAGUUCGUUACAUGGGACUGUUGCCUAUCACUCUCACGUAUGUACUUCAUCAAGUUAUUUCCUACUCUGAACUUUCAAGGAAGUUGCGCGUAGGAAACAAAUGUACAACAAUGAAAUAUACUUCAAUCUUUGAUUAUCUGUGAACUAAAAUUUGAAUAUGACAAAAAGUUACGUGUUCUUAAAAAAAUCGCGUCAACUUUGGUUAAUAUGGUUAUUACCGAAACCGAACCGAAUUUAAAUGGUUAUUACUGAAACCGAACCGUGUUUUUAUACGAAACCGUACAAACUGAAGUAUAAAACCGUACGAACCAAAAACUAUAUAAACCGAACCGAAUCAAACCGAAAAGACCGAACGCACACUCCCAGCUCUUCUCCCCUCUGCUUGUUCGCUUCUGCGGAGAGGAGGAAUCCCAGUUCCUUCACUAUGGCUAGAGUUUAAGUUAGGUUUUUCUUGCAGUGGCGUUCAGAUGAAAGGUAGUGUCUCACCUUCGAGCUGGUUUUUUGGGUUUUGAUCCUUCUUGAGUUCAUUCAUGGACGAAUUCGACGGUGCUCCACCGUAGAUUACUGUCAUCCCAAGAAGUGAUGACUACAAGCACUGAACUGGGCAAACCUUGUUUUAGUAAGGAAGUGGUCGUGCUAAGGCCCGACAGGACUAGUGCACUAGAAUAACAAUUGUCGUCAAUCAAGAAAAUUUGGAUCGGAAGGAUCAAAUAUGUAGACACAUAACCAAAGACAAACGAAGAUUGGUUCGAAAUAGAUCCAUCGAAUACCAGCGUCUACCGUAUCCCACGAGACAAUGGAGACACACCAUCACACGCCCUACAACGCCGCUAAAAUGCACCACCGGGGUGAGGAGUGGACAUAGAGAUAUUAUCCCUAAUAGGGGACAUCGCCGCCGCCACAUAACCCCAACCGGGACGAUCAACCAAACAAGAACGAGAGCAUGGCCCCUCUCGCCAAAGAGGGGCCGGCGUCCUCUCCACCUCCACGACCCAAAGACCAUCAGAGGUGAGGUGGACCGACACCGACACUGAUGGGAGGAGGGAAAACCUAGUCGCAUGGGAGUCGCUUCUUGGGGAGGAGGAAAACUAAGGAUAUGACUAAUGCAUGAAGACUUCCUGGCUCUCAUCGACAAUGUUAGGUCGGCUUCGGACAUCCGGUAGGGAAGCACGGCAACAGUGCAUCGAUACCUUGUUGUUAUACCAGCAGUGGUCGUCUGGUGGUCCAUGAACUUUAAUGUAAUUUUAUUAUGUUGAACGUGAAUUUUUAAAAUAGAUUUGCACCCUUCCAUGAAAAAACUGACCAAAGGUUCCACUAUAUUCAAAACAAACAUGCAGACUCUGAAUCAUUGCAUCAAGUUUCUUUUGGCGGUAACUAGCACAUCAAGUUAGCUGGUUAAAAAUGUAGUUGCAUAAAAAAUAAAGUUAUGCCCCGCAAAAUAAAAACCCAAUCUAUACAAUGUGUUUAACCAUGUGGACUUUUUUAAUCAGGAUAACCAUGUGGAUUUUGGUUAGGUGAGAAGUAAUCGCAAAGUCAUAUUGUGCGGUUCCGUGAUGUGCCGGUAGAUCUAGGUCAUCCACUUGUUCUGAGAUUCGUAAAAAUGUAUGGCCCACCUAAAUGUAUAACACUGGUAUAUUUCUUGUAUUUUUAUUUUUAGUCAAAUCAAUGGCAACAUAAUGGACCCCAAAGUACACCUUUUGUCAAGGACGGUAUGCAUGCAAGUUUCUCCUCUCACUCUACCUGCGGCACAAAUCCAUAGACUUUAUUUCCUCUUAGAGAAUUUGAAUCAACCAUAUCUUUUAAACUAUAGACUCGUUUUUGAAUUUUUUAUAUAUAUUUGGACUCCUGGCGUCAAGAACUUUAAAACUAGACCAAUUUUGGUUACAUUUCAAACACAUUUAAUUUUCGACGUUUCACAUUUCAUAUGUGAAAUAAACACAUUUCACUAUAAAAAUCUGAAACAAACCUAUUUCACUAGAAAUAUGUGAAAAUAACACUUUCCACAUAAACCUAUUAAACUCAAAUGACACCUUGUGAAACUAAUUAUUUGGAAGUAUGUAACAUUUUUAUUUCAAAAGAGUAAAAUAAGUUAUUUCAUAACAUUUUUUUGAAAUGUGUAACAAUUUAUUUCAAAAAAGUGAAACAUCAUCUUUAAAAUGUGCAAUUGAAAUAUAUGUAUCUUUAUGAAACAAGUCAAUGGAAAGUGAAAUUUAUGUUUUGAAAGUGAAAAAUAGUAUGAAACCAAAAAGUUAACUUGUGAAACUGAUUAUUUCCAAAUGUGUAACAAUUUAUUUCAUAAGAGUGAAACAUGUUAUUUCAAACAUGUGCAAUUGAAAUGUAUGUGCUUUUUGUGAAACAAGCCCGUGGAAAGUGAAAUUCAUGUUCUGAAAGUGAAAACAAUAUGAAACUAAAAUGUUAAUUUGUGAAACUGAUUAUUUUGAAAUGUCCAACAAUUUAUUUCAAGAGUGUCAACUUGUGAAACCGAUUAUAUGAACUGAAAUGUCAACUUGUGAAACCGAUCAUUUUCAAAUGUACAAUUGAAAUAGAUGUGAUUUAUCUGAAACAAGCCGGUGAAAAGUGAAAUGUAAGUUCUAAAUGUGAAAAUCAACACAAAACUGAAAUGUGAAUUUGUGAAACUGACUGAAAUCAUUUUAUUCAUAAGGUUUUGUUUUAAAGAUUUUUGCGACAUGAUUUCAAAUAUAUAAUUUUUUUUUGAAAUCGAAAGUUUGGUUUAAGAGAUAUGAAUGAUUUUAAGUUAGCAAAGGUGAAAUAAAUGUAUGCAUUAGUUUGAGAGAGAGAGAGAGAGAGAGAAAGAGGGAAUGGAUAGCACAUGCAUCCGUAUCCUUUGCAUGUUGUAUAGCCAUGUAUUUUCUACUCCAUCCGUUCCUAAAUAAUUGUCUUUCUAGCCAUCUCAAAUGGACUACAACAUACGGAUGUAUGUAGACAUGUUUUAGAGUGUAGAUUCACUCAUUUUUGCUCCGUAUGUAGUCACUUAUUGAAAUCUAUAGAAAUACAAUUAUUUAGGAACGGAAUCUACACUCAUUUUGCUCCGUAUGUAGUCACUUGUUGAAAUCUAUAGAAAUAUUCCUAAAUAAUUGUAUUUCUAUAGAUUUCAACAAGUGACUACAUACGGAGCAAAAUAAGUGAAUCUACACUCUAAAACAUGUCUACAUACAUCCUCCAUUCCUAAAUAAUUGUAUUUCUAUAGAUUUCAACAAGUGACUACAUACGGAGCAAAAUGAGUGAAUCUACACUCUAAAACAUGUCUACAUACAUCCGUAUAUUGUAGUCCAUUUGAGAUGGCUAGAAAGACAAUUAUUUGGAAACGGAGGGAGUAGAACAGAAUGCUUUGUUUUUUAUACUAUAAUAUAGUGUUGCACCAAUCUUUAAAACGCAAUGGACGGCAGGAGAUCUGCCGGUACGAACCGCGCAAUUUUCCUGAUAGGAGAAGUAAUCAUCAACAAAAAAAAAAA